CCUACGGGAGGCUGCAGUGAGGAAUAUUGGUCAAUGGGCUUACGCCUGAACCAGCCAAGUCGCGUGAGGGAAGACUGCCCUAUGGGUUGUAAACCUCUUUUGUCAGGGAGCAACGCCGGCUACGUGUAGCCGGACUGAGAGUACCUGAAGAAAAAGCAUCGGCUAACUCCGUGCCAGCAGCCGCGGUAAUACGGAGGAUGCGAGCGUUAUCCGGAUUUAUUGGGUUUAAAGGGUGCGUAGGCGGAAUGCCAAGUCAGCGGUAAAAUCGCGGGGCUCAACCUCGCUCCGCCGUUGAAACUGGCGUUCUUGAGUGGGCGAGAAGUAUGCGGAAUGCGUGGUGUAGCGGUGAAAUGCAUAGAUAUUAGGAGGAACACCAGUGGCGAAGGCGACUUUCUGGACUGUACCUGACGCUGAGGCGCGAAAGCGUGGGUAGCGAACGGGAUUAGAUACCCCAGUAGUC
RNAcentral lists this ribosomal RNA (460 nucleotides) under uncultured bacterium. RNAcentral's name for it is "partial 16S ribosomal RNA". It matches the Rfam family "Bacterial small subunit ribosomal RNA", at positions 338 to 795 of the family's 1533-position model. The record is from RNAcentral.